This 403-nucleotide ribosomal RNA is filed under the name uncultured bacterium. Its description in RNAcentral is "bacterial SSU rRNA". It matches the Rfam family "Bacterial small subunit ribosomal RNA", at positions 355 to 775 of the family's 1533-position model. The record is from RNAcentral.
UGGGGAAUAUUGCGCAAUGGGGGAAACCCUGACGCAGCAACGCCGCGUGAAUGAUGAAGGUCUUCGGAUUGUAAAGUUCUGUCUUCUGGGACGAUAAUGACGGUACCAGAGGAGGAAGCCACGGCUAACUACGUGCCAGCAGCCGCGGUAAUACGUAGGUGGCAAGCGUUGUCCGGAUUUACUGGGCGUAAAGGAUGCGUAGGCGGACAUUUAAGUCAGAUGUGAAAUACCCGAGCUUAACUUGGGUGCUGCAUUUGAAACUGGGUGUCUAGAGUGCAGGAGAGGUAAGUGGAAUUCCUAGUGUAGCGGUGAAAUGCGUAGAGAUUAGGAAGAACACCAGUGGCGAAGGCGACUUACUGGACUGUAACUGACGCUGAGGCAGGAAAGCGUGGGGAGCAAACAG